GACGAACGCUGGCGGCGUGCUUAACACAUGCAAGUCGAACGGAAAGGCCCUGCUUUUGUGGGGUGCUCGAGUGGCGAACGGGUGAGUAACACGUGAGUAACCUGCCCUUGACUUUGGGAUAACUUCAGGAAACUGGGGCUAAUACCGGAUAGGAGCUCCUGCUGCAUGGUGGGGGUUGGAAAGUUUCGGCGGUUGGGGAUGGACUCGCGGCUUAUCAGCUUGUUGGUGGGGUAGUGGCUUACCAAGGCUUUGACGGGUAGCCGGCCUGAGAGGGUGACCGGCCACAUUGGGACUGAGAUACGGCCCAGACUCCUAAGGGAGGCAGCAGUGGGGAAUAUUGCAAAAUGGGCGGAAGCCUGAUGCAGCAACGCCGCGUGCGGGAUGACGGCCUUCGGGUUGUAAACCGCUUUCGCCUGUGACGAAGCGUGAGUGACGGUAAUGGGUAAAGAAGAACCGGCUAACUACGUG
Molecule: ribosomal RNA, 468 nt
Filed under: uncultured bacterium
Lineage: Bacteria
Description: partial 16S ribosomal RNA
Rfam family: Bacterial small subunit ribosomal RNA
Source: RNAcentral